Neomonachus schauinslandi (Hawaiian monk seal) is the source of this 3475-nucleotide long non-coding RNA. RefSeq lists it as uncharacterized. NCBI's taxonomy places the organism in Eukaryota, Metazoa, Chordata, Mammalia, Carnivora, Phocidae. The record is from RefSeq and is a predicted model, not a curated record. The transcript is spliced from 6 exons.
CAGAAGCAUACUGCGGCGGUCCCGGAGAGGCCGUGCUUUAACUGGCGUCCUCGCUGCGGCUGGAGGCGCCCCUGGUUCUCUUUCGCCUGUCCAGUUCUACCUUGGCCUGUGCAGCCACCCUAGAUCCGCGAACUUUGUGCCGCCGCUCCCUCUACCCUGUCUUGCGGCGGCCAGCGCUAAGAAUUCACGCUACGACACUCGGUUCAGCCAGGAGGUGACACCCAAGUGUGAUCAGAAGCCAUGCCACUGGUGAAGAGGUAUAUUGAGCCCCGCCUGGCCCAGUGAGGUUACCUGAGAAUUGGGAGAGGCUUAGAUCAACAUCCUGCACAUCCUGUUAUCAAAUCAUUGUGAAGUCUUGAAAAUCACCUGGGAUGCCUGUUAAAAAUGCAGAUUCCUGGGCAGCCAGAAACCUUGUCAUUGGUCAAGAGCAACACUAAGACCUACCUGUCACUUAUAUUGAGGCUUCCUGCCCAGUGGGUUCAUCAGCAAGCCAGAACGAAUCACCAUUGCCAUGGUUGUCCUUGUGAGGCAGUUGGGAAGCCUUGUCACAGAAGCUGCAGUGAAUUCUCUCAUGGCCCUGAGUAUGCUUUGUUCCCAUGGAGAAGAACCUAACUGGAGACUGAUAGUGUGGACAUGUUUCUGGCAUCAGGGAUGAGGGAGACCUUUAGAAACAACUUGUCAAGUCCUCACCAUGAAUACCAUUGGAAUUGCAGUUGGAAUGGCACUGAAUGCAGAGAUUGAUUUUUGGAGAGCUAUCAUAUGUAUAAUCUUCUCAUACAUGAAUGUGGAGAACCUGGUAGAAGACUUCGUGUGAGGGAGAAGAAAAGGCAAGAAGCGGAGAGUGACUACAGCCUGUCUUCAUCUCAGCUUCACAAGGCAUGACUCAGCAGAGGGAGGGAUCAUCCUCUGGAGACUCUCCAGACCACAGGUUGCUCCUUUCAGUUGCAUGCUUAGCCCUCUCAGCUACUUUUUCUGUUCAGAAAUCAUACUGUAUGUGCAUAUAUGAACUGUCACUUCCCAUAAAGAGUACUCCACGUUCCCAGUUUAAAAAAAAAAAAAAAAUCCCUCAAAAAAGGUAUAAGGCUCGCUCUGUUAUCCAGUAGUCAAAAAUUGCUGGAUCCCCAAUGCUGGAAUAUAGGCCACCAGAGAGGAGUUUGGGUUUCAGCAACAAAGGCCCCCAGCUUAAUGGAAGGAAGGCAGUCAGCUGACUUGAAAGUAACCCCUAUCCCUGCAGUUCACAUUAUUCCUUCUUCCUUCAGCGCCUUGACUCAGAUACGACCACUGAUAACAGCAAACCAAAGCCAUACCUUCUCCUUCCACUGGCACUUUUCUGGCCUGUGCAGCUGCUGUUAGGAGUCACUCUCUUUCUUUAGCACUUCCUUCCUCCCAUCUCUUAAGACGCAGGGAGUCAUGAAUGCUAGAGUUGGGGUCGAAUUUGUCCUACUUGCCUCUGUGGUUGGGAAAUACUAACGUUAAUCAGCCCGAUACCCACUUCCUCCUGAUAUUAUGACAGUUACUGGAGAAGCUGUAGCCAGGGCCAGCAACCCUGUGGACCCCAGCCCCAGGACUUACUCCUGAGGUCUCAGCUGAUUACAAAAUACUAGUAGGAGGGCUUGCCCCAUCCCAGCCCCCCUUCUGAGUUAGUCAUCAGAGAUCAGGACUUGUCUUAGGGCAUAUGUUGCAUAAGAACAGAUAUCUCAGGGGUUAAUAGUGAACAAUAUCAGGAGUCCAGGUUACCUUUUAUCUCUCUUGGGGAUGGGCAGCAUAGGGUAAGUGGAAAGUCUUGUAUCCCCAGUGAUUCCUCAGGACACCCUGGGUCACACUAUCUGGUACCUUAUCCCGGGUCUUGCCUCUUCAGAGUUUUUCUAGUGCACAUCUUGCUCUCACUAACCACCUUUUAUUCCCUGCCAGACCCUGGUGGGUUUCAGUGGGUGUGGUUUUGUUUUGUUUUUUUCUUUUCCCUUCCUCAGGCCAUCUGUAACAGUCAUCAUCUGGGAGGAGCCUUGUUGUGAAUGAAGCCUCAGUGAGUGGAGUGACACCCAUGUUUUUCUCUGAAUAUAAGGAGAGGGAAGGAGGCCAUGAAAUCCCAUAAUGGAGUAACAAAAAUUUGACAUUUUAGUAGAUACUGGACCUAGAAGCCUACAUGAAGGAAGUAAACAAACCUGAGAGAUCUUGGAUGUGUGUUGAGUGAAGAUAAGAGUGAAUUCCUUAUUGCCCUUAGUAAUGGAGGAAGAGAGGGGAGAAAAGUGAGGGUCCUUUAUGUCACUGGAGGAGGCCCUGAGACUUGCUUCUUAAACCAGUGGCUUUUAAGUUGCAUUGCACUACUUCCGUUGCUGUUUGUGUGAGAGUCACUGUUCCAAGCCCUCUUCUCAGGUACAGCUGCCUUUGUAGAGAUUCCUCUUGACCCCUGUUGAGAAACAACCCAGAACGAGGUUUGCAGCUUAGAACUCUCUGGAUCAGUGACAGUUUCAGAGGGGUCGAGAACAGAGCAGGUAGCACAAGUAGUACCAAAUAGCUCAGCCUUUUUUAUAUAGGAUGGAUGGGGUAGAGGCGGAGAGCACAGUGGUUCCAGGCAACUCCAAACACCUGGUAAGGUGUAAGGAAACAGUACACUGAAAGGUCAACCCUUAGACCUAUUAUUUGUCAAUCCCCAGAGCAUGAUAGAAUAUCUAAAAGUUAUAAAGAUGCUUUCCUAGAAGAGAUUUAGAAGAGGGGAACUUCCAAUUAUGUAAUACGGGCAUUGCAGCUUUUAAAAACAUCUGUUCCCUACAUAGGUCAUGGAGAUUGAUACUCGUAUCAGCCUGUGGCUGACUAGGCCAGUAUUAACUUCAAGGUUUCAUGCUCUUGGAGGGAUCCUGCUACUCUCUUGCUUUGACAGGUGUUCAUCUGCAGUAUGAGUCCAGUACUUGAAGGAACAAGAGGACAACAGGCAUCCAGGGGACAUCAGUGUAGUCUUCGAAGUGAAGAUGGCAACAGAAAAGAUCAUGGAGUUGGCUGGAUUGGGCUGGGCUCGUUUGUUGUUUCGGAAUUUUAAAAAUACUUUUUUUCUUGAUGAUAAAAGUAACAGAUGAUCACUGUUGAAAAAUCAAAGGUAUAAAUUAAAAAGUAAAGAACACCAAUAAUCUUAUAACCCAGAAAACAACUCAACAUCUGAGUUUGUUACCUUUUGCUCCUUUAAAAAAGAAUGUAGCAUAGUUUUUUCAAGUUUUCAUUUUACUUCCAGUUAGUAAACAUACAAUGUUCUGUUCAUUUCAGGUGUACAAUUUAAAAACAAAAUUGACAUCAUAUUGUAUAUGUUGUUCUCCAUCUUUUUUCAUUUGAAAAUAAUGUAUUUGCAUGUAAUUAGCGUUCUUUGAAAACACAGUAUUGUUACAUAAUAUUUCAUAUGGAUCUAACAAAAUUUAGGUAGAUGACUGCAUGCUGCUGGACAUUUUGCAUAUUACCAAUUCUGUCUAUAAAAUGUAAUAAACUUCAU